GUAAAGUGUGUGAGUGUGUGCAGACGCUCCAGAAGAUGGGACAGAAGAAGAGCAAGCCUUCUGAUCCCAUGGGUGGUGUGGGAACUCAGGUGAGGUACCCUCAGAUACCACCGGAUAGCCCUUUAGGAUUGAUGUUAAGUAAUUGGGAAAAUUACCCCUCUAGGCGGGGUAAGGACAAAGUAAAAAUGAUUUAUUAUUGUAUGGAAGGGUGGUAGAAGGAA
Molecule: long non-coding RNA, 221 nt
Organism: Athene cunicularia (burrowing owl)
Lineage: Eukaryota; Metazoa; Chordata; Aves; Strigiformes; Strigidae
Exons: 3
Source: RefSeq, a predicted model, not a curated record